Molecule: ribosomal RNA, 605 nt
Filed under: Burkholderia sp. CL20
Lineage: Bacteria; Pseudomonadati; Pseudomonadota; Betaproteobacteria; Burkholderiales; Burkholderiaceae
Description: bacterial SSU rRNA
Rfam family: Bacterial small subunit ribosomal RNA
Source: RNAcentral
UGCACCUGGUGGCGAGUGGCGAACGGGUGAGUAAUACAUCGGAACAUGUCCUGUAGUGGGGGAUAGCCCGGCGAAAGCCGGAUUAAUACCGCAUACGAUCUACGGAUGAAAGCGGGGGAUCUUCGGGCCUCGCGCUAUAGGGUUGGCCGAUGGCUGAUUAGCUAGUUGGUGGGGUAAAGGCCUACCAAGGCGACGAUCAGUAGCUGGUCUGAGAGGACGACCAGCCACACUGGGACUGAGACACGGCCCAGACUCCUACGGGAGGCAGCAGUGGGGAAUUUUGGACAAUGGGCGAAAGCCUGAUCCAGCAAUGCCGCGUGUGUGAAGAAGGCCUUCGGGUUGUAAAGCACUUUUGUCCGGAAAGAAAUCCUUGGCUCUAAUACAGCCGGGGGAUGACGGUACCGGAAGAAUAAGCACCGGCUAACUACGUGCCAGCAGCCGCGGUAAUACGUAGGGUGCGAGCGUUAAUCGGAAUUACUGGGCGUAAAGCGUGCGCAGGCGGUUUGCUAAGACCGAUGUGAAAUCCCCGGGCUCAACCUGGGAACUGCAUUGGUGACUGGCAGGCUAGAGUAUGGCAGAGGGGGGUAGAAUUCCACGUGUAGCAG